AGUGAACGCUGGCGGUAGGCCUAACACAUGCAAGUCGAACGGCAGCACAGUAAGAGCUUGCUCUUACGGGUGGCGAGUGGCGGACGGGUGAGGAAUACAUCGGAGUCUACUUUUUCGUGGGGGAUAACGUAGGGAAACUUACGCUAAUACCGCAUACGACCUACGGGUGAAAGCAGGGGAUCUUCUGACCUUGCGCGAUUGAAUGAGCCGAUGUCGGAUUAGCUAGUUGGCGGGGUAAAGGCCCACCAAGGCGACGAUCCGUAGCUGGUCUGAGAGGAUGAUAGCCCACACUGGAACGGAGACACGGUCCAGACUCCUACGGGAGGCAGCAGUGGGGAAUAUUGGACAAUGGGCGCAAGCCUGAUCCAGCCAUACCGCGUGGGUGAAGAAGGCCUUCGGGUUGUAAAGCCCUUUUGUUGGGAAAGAAAAGCAGCAGGUUAAUACCACGCUGUUCUGACGGUACCCAAAGAAUAAGCACCGGCUAACUUCGUG
RNAcentral lists this ribosomal RNA (492 nucleotides) under uncultured bacterium. Its description in RNAcentral is "partial 16S ribosomal RNA". It matches the Rfam family "Bacterial small subunit ribosomal RNA", at positions 29 to 507 of the family's 1533-position model. The record is from RNAcentral.